UUUAGGAAGUGUGAGCACUACGCACACACACAACUAAAAGUCGUCUGCUUUAACGGCAUAAUUACACAGUAUUUUGGACAUCUGUGUUGCUGAAUCUUUUGCAAUUUGUUCAAUUAAUAAUGGAGAAGUCACAGUAGAAAGAUGGAGGUGGGAAGCUUUAGCCUUUAGCCACACAAACACACGGUGAUUUCUUGUUUAAAAUUCCCGCAGACAUUGAUCCCGACUACAUGUCAACCAGCAGGGUUUCGGUGAGAAAAUUGUGGUUAAAAAGUCGCCACUUACCGGAUAUCAGCUGAGCUUGUGGCUCCCAUGGGCUGCCGUCGACGUCCCCGAGACACUGCGCGUCAACACCCGGCCGGCCGUAGACGUACACUUCCGACUAUCAGCGAGGAUGGAUGCACACCAGCAGGGCCACUCAUCCAUCCACAACAUGUGCAACAACGUUCAAACCUGCGCUCUCAACAUUGUCAUCCCAUUACACCAGUGGUUCUUAACCUUGUUGGAGGCAGUGCACCACUGUUCUCCCGUCUCCGCCAUCAUACUGCUCCUGCCACUUGGCCAGCCGCCUGACCAGCUGCAAGAUGGAGCGCUUGGACAGGGGAGUGUCCCUGUAGGCCGGCCAACCAAUGAACUGGAAGUGCUGCACCAGGCGAUAGCCGUCCUGAGGCUGAGAAAAAGGCGAGGCAGGUGUUGAAACGGAACAUUGGAAAAGUCAUGAAACAGAACAAUCUAAGUCCACUCUGCUGAUUGUUGACAAAUAUACCAGGUGCUAGUUUAUGUAAUAAUCUAAAUCUAAAUCUAACAAUAAUUGCAAAAUUGGCCAUGACACAAAUGCAUGCGAUUUCUAGGGAUGCUGUGGAAAGGGCAAAAAGUAACCAAGCAAAACAAAAAUUAAAGUACAUAUUUUUUGUAAAAUUUGGGGGUGCUUUCAGCUGGACUCGGGCGAACCCCAGCAGGGCCUGCUGCUCGUUGAAAAGAGCAAUACUUUAUCGAACAAAGCAAUCUAAAGAGGUCUGUGUGGUCAUGGAUUUUUUGUUUUACGAAUGGGAGUGUAAAAUAAAUUCUCGGUUUAUCGGAAUUUUAUUUUGAAAUACAAAAUAUACAAUUGAAAAAUAAAACCUUAUUUUUUAGUGCU
This is a long non-coding RNA of Nerophis ophidion (straightnose pipefish), 1135 nucleotides long. RefSeq lists it as uncharacterized. The record is from RefSeq and is a predicted model, not a curated record. Lineage: Eukaryota; Metazoa; Chordata; Actinopteri; Syngnathiformes; Syngnathidae. The transcript is spliced from 3 exons.